Molecule: microRNA precursor, 103 nt
Filed under: Marmota monax (woodchuck)
Lineage: Eukaryota; Metazoa; Chordata; Mammalia; Rodentia; Sciuridae
Source: RNAcentral
AACAGGAUUGCAUAAUCUAAUGGUAAAUGUAUGUUUAAUUUUGUAAGAAAUUAUCAAAAUAUUUCCGAGAAUAGCUGUACCAUUUUGCAUUCUCAUUAGCAAU